AUGAGCCGAAAGCUUUUCCUCAGGAUUGUGAAUUCCAUCCGGGAGUUCGACGGCUACUUCAAGUGCAAGAAGGAUUGCACCGGCAAACUUGGAUUCACCUCAAUCCAGAAGUACACGACAUUUGUGAGGAUGCUUGCAUACGGAGCUCCCGGUGAUUCACUCGACGACUACAGGCGCAUGGCCGAGUCCACGACCAUUGAGUGUUUCUACAAGUUCUGCAGGGCAGUGGUGGCACUGUUUGGACCGCAAUACUUGCGAUCACCCAAUGCUGAAGGCACUGCUCGGAUCCUAGCACAGAAUGCAGUAAGAGGAUUUCCUGGGAUGCUUGGAAGCAUCGACUGCUUGCAUUGGAAAUGGAAGAACUGUCCAUUUGCUUGGCAGGUGAUGUACAAAGGCGCCAAAGGCGGUUGCAGUGUGGUACUUGAGGCGGUGGCCACACAGAACCUCCGGAUUUGGCACUCCUUCUUUGGUAUGCCAGGAACUCACAAUGACAUCAACGUGCUGCAGUGUUCCCUUGUCUUUGCCAAGCUUGUUGAAGGUCAUGCUCCUCCGGUGAACUUCGAGGUCAAUGGCCGGCACUAUAACAAGGGGUACUACCUAGCUGAUGGCAUCUAUCCGAGAUGGUCUACGUUUGUGAAUACUAUCUCAAACGAUGUGCCAGGAGGCAAGAAAUCCCACUUUGCGAAGGUUCAGGAGGCUUGCAGGAAGGAUGUCGAGCGGGCAUUUGGUGUGCUCCAAUCUCGAUUUGCUGUUGUCCGGUACCCCGCUCAGACCUGGUCGAAUGAUCAAAUGUGGGAGAUCAUGACUUGA
RNAcentral lists this ribosomal RNA (810 nucleotides) under Triticum aestivum (bread wheat). RNAcentral describes it as "partial small subunit ribosomal RNA". Lineage: Eukaryota; Viridiplantae; Streptophyta; Magnoliopsida; Poales; Poaceae. The record is from RNAcentral.